GAUGAACGCUGGCGGCGUGCCUAAUACAUGCAAGUAGAACGCUGAAGGAAGGAGCUUGCUCUUUCCGGAUGAGUUGCGAACGGGUGAGUAACGCGUAGGUAACCUGCCUGGUAGCGGGGGAUAACUAUUGGAAACGAUAGCUAAUACCGCAUAACAGUAGAUGUUGCAUGAUAUCUACUUAAAAGGUGCAAUUGCACCACUACCAGAUGGACCUGCGUUGUAUUAGCUAGUUGGUGAGGUAACGGCUCACCAAGGCGACGAUACAUAGCCGACCUGAGAGGGUGAUCGGCCACACUGGGACUGAGACACGGCCCAGACUCCUACGGGAGGCAGCAGUAGGGAAGCUUCGGCAAUGGACGGAAGUCUGACCGAGCAACGCCGCGUGAGUGAAGAAGGUUGUCGGAUCGGAAAGCUCUGUUGUAAGAGAAGAACGAGUGUGAGAGUGGAAAGUUCACACUGUGACGGUAUCUUACCAGAAAGGGACGGCUAACUACGUG
RNAcentral lists this ribosomal RNA (497 nucleotides) under uncultured bacterium. RNAcentral describes it as "partial 16S ribosomal RNA". It matches the Rfam family "Bacterial small subunit ribosomal RNA", at positions 28 to 507 of the family's 1533-position model. The record is from RNAcentral.